GGGGGUGUUCCGGAUUCGACCUUCGGCGGGAGCGCGCCGUCGCCCUCCGGGCGUGAAGGCCGCCCGUUAAUCUCCCUUCAAAAAACAAACGGCAAAACUGAAGCAAUGCCCCUCGCUGCCUAAUUAAACCAGCGACGCCCUGACGCGGACACCUGCUACGCGUCCGGGCGACGACAGCAGGCAUAACGCGCGAAGCCAUCCGCGGUUCGCGCGCCGUAUCUUCAAACCGGGGAUUGGCCUGCGGUGCGGCGCGGUUGGUCGCGUCCCGCCGGCGAGAUCAAAGCCAACCUAUGAGGGUAGAAGCGGCGUGUGAACGCCUUGGGGACGCGGGUUCAACUCCCGCCACCUCCACCA
This 354-nucleotide transfer-messenger RNA is filed under the name Opitutaceae bacterium. It matches the Rfam family "transfer-messenger RNA". Rfam says of the family: Bacterial tmRNA, also known as 10Sa RNA or SsrA, is named for its dual tRNA and mRNA-like properties. Its role is to liberate the mRNA from a stalled ribosome. Lineage: Bacteria; Pseudomonadati; Verrucomicrobiota; Opitutia; Opitutales; Opitutaceae. The record is from RNAcentral.